GCAUGAAUAAACGUUCCUCUUCUUUUCUCUCUCUGUUUUCUCAUAUUUCUUAUCUCCGAAGAACAACCCUGCUACCUAGCCAUGGCGGAGAUCACCGAGAAGAUAACCGAAGAGGAGGCAAUACCGACCAGGAACCUGCCUGAGGUCCUUAUCACGGACAUACUUACACGGCUUCCGGUCAAGUCUCUUCUAAGAUUCAAUUGUGUUUGCAAAACCUGGUGUGCUCUUAUAACCGAUCCUGCUUUCGUCAAAGAACACCUCAAUCGAUCCCUUGCAAGCAAUAGCAACCUCAGCCUCAUUUUAGGAUACUACCAUCAUUACUUCUCUGUCGACUUAGAUGCUUGCGAACAAGAAGCGGCGGUAGAACUCGAUCAUCCCCAAGAGAUUUCACUAGACUCUAUAUACGACUACGACCUGUCGAACGAAGUAGAGGGUUCAUGCGACAUUUCACUCGGUAUGUACAACUCCUGCCUGCGGAACGGAGUAUUGGGUUCAUGCCACGGUUUACUAUGUAUAUCCAACUCUGUGGUGGACAUGUUCCUUUGGAAUCCUUCUAUCAGAACUCAUCAUAGGCUGCCCAAUGCACCUAUAGAGUUGGUCAGAAGCGACUUCCCCAGUCUCGUUGCUCACGGAUUAGGUUACGACCCCACCACUGAUGAUUACAAGCUGAUAAGGAUUGUGCAGUUUGUUGAUGACGAUCAAUAUUCUUGCGAUUCGGACUCUAGUUAUUCGGAUCCUUGCGAGUCGGAUGUGAAGGUAUUCUCACUUAGCACUAAUUCAUGGAGACGAAUUCGGGACAUGCCAUAUCGUAUCUACUACGGAGGAUUUGGGGUUUUCGCAAAUUAUGCUCUUCAUUGGGUUGCAGGGCGCGACUUGGAACCUGACAAUUUUAUCAUUUCCUUUGACCUUCAAGAUGAGGAGUUUCGAGAGGUUCCACUGCCUGACUUUUUGGACAAUUAUAGUUAUAUGUAUGUUGGGGUUCUUGGAGGACAACUCUGCUUUCUCUGCCGAAUCUCCAGCCGUUUUGAGGUUUGGGUGAUGAAGGAUUACGGCGUGAGGGAUUCCUGGGUGAAACUGUUCACCAUCGAACAACCAGAGGUGAUUAGUUCUCUUGGACAUGCCAGACCUUUAUGCUAUUCAAAGAAUGGGGAAGUUAUAUUCAACAAGUCAGAUGGGCCGCUUCUCCUGUAUGAUCCUCGUAGUGGAAGGGUUAGGACUCUUAGGAUUCCUGGUGCUCCAGAUAGGAUGAAAGCAGAGGUCUACAUUGGGAGUCUCAUUCCACUCAAUGCCCAAGAUGGAAUUGAACAACCAGGAAAGAAGAAAAAGCAGAAGAAGGGCUGAUGUUGGACAUGUGGAGAUGAUGUUUUGAGGAUGAGGAAUAUGGAACAAGAAAAUUAAAAGUAUGGACAUGAAGGCAGAGGGCUAACGUUGGAAGUGGAAGUUUAGCAAUGAACUAAUUGGGAAUGAGAAAACAAAUGACAAGGCAAUCAAGGCAUGGGCUUACAAAUAUCCUAUGUAUCCCUUCUUUGCAGUACAGUACAUAAUCUGUUGAUUGUAUUUGGAUACUGUUGUUUAUGGUGCUCUUAUGUUUUUGUAUGGUUUGGAACAUAUCAACUCACUGACUUCAAUCUUUUUUGUUCAAGCACUUAUAAAAAUGUCAAUACAACUAGUGGGGCAUUUGAUAUUGCA
RNA transcript from Macadamia integrifolia, 1689 nucleotides. It is a transcript of the gene named F-box protein CPR1-like, with no coding region annotated. The record is from RefSeq and is a predicted model, not a curated record. NCBI's taxonomy places the organism in Eukaryota, Viridiplantae, Streptophyta, Magnoliopsida, Proteales, Proteaceae. The transcript is spliced from 3 exons.